GGGAAACAAUGCAAGGCCUGAAGUGGUGACACAGUCAUUCGUUUUUUCUUGAAAAAAUGCACUCUGACUGCAAUGGGAUGAAGAAAUAGGCAUGGCAUAGUCUCCAUAGUGAGAAGUUCUGAACAGAGGCAACAUGUUUGAAGCUUUACAAAGGGCUUCAAUAAGGGAUUACAAUCUUAAUCUGCUGUUGUGGCUUUGAAGCAUGAUCCUGAAAUUGAAGAUGCAGUUCAACAGUGUGGUGCCAUAAUGCCGAUAAAAAAGAGAGAUACCAAAUUCAGAUUAAUAUGAUCACAUCUUCCAUUUAAUCUGUUCCAUGUAACAUUUAAAUAGCUAUUUAGAAAACAUCAAAUGCAGAAUAGUAUAUGUUACUUGAUUUACAAAUGAGAAUGGUGCCAGGAAUAAAGCAAGGUUUGCUUUGACCUAAUGCCCCUAG
Molecule: long non-coding RNA, 433 nt
Filed under: Gopherus agassizii (Agassiz's desert tortoise)
Lineage: Eukaryota; Metazoa; Chordata; Testudines; Testudinidae
Description: lncRNA (ENSGAGG00000018368.1)
Source: RNAcentral